CCCUGAGCAAAACCAAGUCUCCCAGAUGGAGGACCUUGGCGCUGACCGAGACUGAAUUUCCUGGAGUUGUUCGAGACAAGAUGCUCGAUUCCCUCACGGUGAUUCAUUAUUUCAAGACAACUGAUGUUUACUGCAGGAGCCAGGCUAAACACUGGGGACACAAAGGAAACGCGGCUCCCAUUUCUCUUGGUGUAAACCUCGGAGUCUUCCAAUGGCUCCAAAGGCACCACGUGCCUCGGGCUCUCCCUCCCUCCCUCGCCCCACCCUACUACACUCUGCCUUGCCAUGCUGUUCCUGGCUGUUCCUCGGACACACCAGGCACACGCCUGCCUCGGGGCCUUUCGGGCUGGCUGUCCUCUCUGGCCAAUGCGCUCUCCCUGCAGAAAUCGACAUGACUCAGUCCCUCGCUUCCUUCACAUCUAUGCUCAUCUUCCCAGUGAGUCAUACCCUGGCCGCUCGAUGGAGAACUGCACCCCACUCAAGCCUCUGAGCACUGCCUCCUCUCCCUCCCCGGCUUUCCUGCUGCAGCUUUCCAAAGGCAUGCCUCAAAUUCUACCAUGCUACAUGUCCACUAAUAAUUUCCUCGUUCCCCUCUCUCUUCCCACUCUAAGAGAAGCUCCGGGAGGUCUGGGGCCUUGGCUCUGCUUCCUCCUGCACUGUCCGUGCUUAGAACAGACUCUGGUACGUGUCCAAUAAUAUCUGUUAAAUAGAUGAGUAAGUAAUGCUGACCUGGCCUCAGAAUCUGUUUAAAAGCCUCAAAAUGGCCAUAGGGGCCAGGCGGCCGAUGAAAAUUACCCAAGUCCCAGGACAGAGACACCGGAAGCGUGGGGGCCUCAUUUUUCUGUCCCCACCCUCGAUUUUCCGAAUUUUCACAGAAACCUGGGAGAAUUCACCAAUGGCUCGAUGCAGACUAGGGACAGUCCCCAUCCAGCAUGCGGCAUGGCCAUAACUCACACCAGAGAGCAGCCUCCAGCCUUGGGGCCACCCCUGCCCACUCUGUGUCACGCUGCCGGGUGAACACAGAAAAGCCCUGUAGGGUUUGAGUCACAGAAUCUCCCCCACCCCCACCCACCCCUCCUAUGCCCACUUGGCUUCUCCCUGUUGGCUCCUGCAAGGUAUAGCCAUUCCAAGAACCCUUGGCCCUUCCCUGGCUCGCCGGACCAGGACCGGCAUCCCUGGGCCCCGGGUACCGUCACCUGUAGCCCUGGCUGAAGGCUGUCCCUCCAUGAGCCCCCACACCAGGGGACUUCCGGCCCCACCCGCAAAGGAGAAGGAAGAGGACGGUUCCUAAGAGGUCUCUCAUCCACGACAACACCGUACUUGCGUUCGCCAUCAACUCUCCCCCAGAAGCCUCUUACCGCUUUCAGGAAGAAGAAUGUGUGGCCUUCAGAACCAGCAACGAUUAACCGGGGGCACGGGGAAGGUCGGGGUCACCGAAAGAUUCAGGGGAACUCUAAUUCGGGCUGCAGAGGGGGGCUACUCCGCGUGAUGCAGUCAAUACACAGGAGGCCCGGCGGCCGUCGGAGUCCAGCCUGGUUUGGAGAGAGAGCCCUGCAAGCAGUGACCAGGGGGCCCUGGUCGAUCGUUGGCGCGCUGCCUCCACAAACACAGAAGCCAGAGGGGCCAGGCUGCUAGUUUCGUGGCCACCAGCUCCACGGGCCACGAGUGGACGGAGCGUUCUGCUAGCAGGGGAUCCGGCUCCCAGGAAGGACAGGUGUCCUGUGGAGAGCCGGCGGCUCACGUUUUAGGUGUGCACUCGCUCACUCUUCUGGAUCCCCAGAGAAUCAUCUGGCGACCAUUCCAGCCGGCUGAACUGGUGCCCACAGAGACGACAUCAUCAUCUGGGGACGAACCAUCCCGGCCCAGGAUUCUCAGUUCCCACUCUGAAUUCACGGCCAGCCAACCACAUGAGCACCCACGAGCUGGCUACGUACUUGCACUUUCCGGAGGUCGAAUCCGGGGCCGACGUGAGCUGGAGGGCCCGGGAUGCACACAGACAGGUCAGCCCCCCGCCACCAAAUGGCAAAGGUUGCUCUUCAUACUGUCACUGUCACCACUGCUGCUCACACCGGGCCCUCGGUGCCUCUGUGUCUGGUCAUAAGGCACCUCCCGAGGGGUACUCUAGGUGUGCCUCCACAUUAAUCAUCCCAGGAAGGGGGGUCCCCAACUAGGAGACGCAGGGCUGUCGUGCGGCAUCAGAAACUGACCAUAACACCUAAUAUCGGGGCCUGACGUGCGCCAGGCUUUAGGAGAAGCAGCGGACACCGCGUGCAUUAGUCUAACUAGAGAAGGGAGGAAACUGAGGCCCGGAGCAAUGGACUAACUUGCCCCGGCAUACACCUAGUGAGACCCGGGGCCAGGAUCUGGGGGGCCCGGGCAGUCUGACUCCAGAGUCCACUCCACUAGACUGUCCCCGAAGACGGAACGCAGAACGGCACCAAGACCACCUCGCCCUGACGCUCUUCCCCCGAAGCCUGCCUCUGAGCAGGUGGUGUGGGAGGGUCAGGCUCUGAAGCUGUUUCUGUUUUGAGAGUGAUCAAGAACGGCAUCGUGAGAGCCCGGUGACCCCGCCCCCGGUUCACCCAUCGAGUCACUCGUUCCUGCAGUCAGAGCCCCCGGGCAUGGGCUGCAAGCCCGUGAUGGCACAGGCCCCCUCCGCUCGCAGGGAGCGGGAAGCCCAGCGAGGCCGGCGCUCUCUCCUGCGCACCACCGCAUCUCUGUUGCAGGAACGGACGAAGGAGUGCAAGACGAAGGAAACUCUUCUACAGAAGUGGAGGGUGAGAAAAGGUUCUUUAAAAAAAAAAAACAAAACAACAAAGUACCCAUAGGUAAUGAUGCAUAUCCCGUAAUCUAAUCUAUAUGUUCGUCGUGCAAAAAUAAUGAGAUGUUAGCAGUUUCAGAAUUAGUGUUCUCUUACUCUAUUUCCCUCAACACGAAACCUGAUCUGCUCUGCAUUAGAAUUAUAGCAAGAACUAUCCCCGAGCAGGAACCAUAUGAUUUUUAAUGCACAGACGAAUUUCAAUUCGGCAUUCACCUCGCCAUGCUGGUGUGUUUUAAAUUUAACCCUAAAUUACAGACUUUUCAAAUAACUCCGCUCUUCCCUCUGCUCCUCUCUCUUCAAUUUUGGUUUGGUUUUGCGAAAGGUCUGCUGGUAAAAAUGAAGCAAUACCAGUAACUUAUCUACAAAUUACGGGAAGGAGAAAGUAGGUUAAAAAAGACCAAGAAACUUAAAACAAGCACGAUCAAACCACAUCCGAGUGAGGCAGGAAACGAUAGGAGACCGAUCUUGCUCAGAGGGAAGGAAGGUGAGUCUCACCGGGACUGUUAUCGAGCGAGUCACCGAUGGGGACUCACCUCCACUCCACCCAACUUUCAAGUGCAGUCAUCCGAACGCGACACAGUUCGGUUCUGCACCCAGGCAAAGGCGAUACCCGGAAGCAGAAGGCAGACACUUUCACUUGGGGCUGGCAAUUCCUUCCACGCUCAAAAGAAUCUCAUUUUCAGUUCAGACGCCCACCACGACGAGCCGCUGUGACUCUGUCACAAUGGAGGCAGAAACUUCGUCCCCAAAAAGGGGGCUGGCGGGAGAAAGGACGGGUCUCCCGAAAGCUCCCUCUCAUUGGAGGGCCCAACCGCCGUGGGUAUCCCAGGCUGAGUGGUCGCCAGUAACAUUCUGCAGUUUGCCUCUGCUCAAAUUGCAAACCCCAAGCAUCAAUGCCAGUACCCUGCUGUGACAGCGUGCUGGAGUUCUGGCAAGAUGUGACCACGGGGGGAUAACCAGCGAAAGGGUGUGAUUAUUUCUCGUGGCCGCAGGCCAGUCAAGUGCAAUGAGAAAGCCUGCAAACCCCAGCAGCCCAGAGAUCUCUGUGUCCGUCCCUCCGAACGCCAAGUCCAACUUCGUCACUGAAUGUCUCACACGAAGACACUGUGGGACGAAGUCUGAGCAGCCAUCUUGGGAAAUGGAGACCACACGACAAAAGAAAGCCCAAGGAGACUCAACACGGCCCAAUGUGAUAUGAAUGGAAAUGUCCUAGGAGCGUGCAGCAGGCUGGAUGGGGACCGGGCGAGUCUGAUGGCAAACACAUGCCGACCCGAUGGGGACCGCCUCGGAGAAGCGUGCAGCAGAAACAUGUGUACCAUGGGGACCAGACCUUCUGACUGCUGCAACGCAAUCCCGAGAUGCAGAUUUUUUGUGUGUGAAACUUCCUAACUGUUAACGUUGGUCACUCGUAGAAUUCUCUGUUAAAUACCGCGAACACCAAACCAAACGGCUCUGAGGGCCAGGCUGCAACCUGCCGGGUACCUCAUGGACACUUCAGCUGGUGUGUUUUAAAUUUAACCCUAAAUUACAGACUUUUCCUCCCCAUCCCCACCAAGAGCCCUCCGGAGUAGGACGCGCCCUCUCCGUUUCCUAGGUGGGGGGGAGGGAGGACGAUGCGCCUGAGGGGGCCCGCUGGCUGGCGGUCAUCGGCAGCUCUGCCCUCGAGGCCCUGCGACUCUGCUGGGUCAGCACUCCACCCCUCGCAUUCGGUCAGCAGCAGGGAGUUUCAGAAAGUUGGAAAGAAAACUGUCCGGCUCCACGAACACCAGGUCGUCUCCACGUUGCCCCGCCUGAAGUGUCGUGGCACGGGCCCCUAAGGGAGGCUGUCCUGUCCAAUACUCGUCACUCCUGUCCCUCUAGGUUACAUCCCCUCGCCAAAAACUACUCCUUCCCUUUAGAGCACGUGUGAAACUCGAGACAGUACAUUUGUUUGUAUAUUUAUUUGAGCAACAUCUGUCACUCCUACUAGACUAUAAAGCUCCAAAAAGACAGAAACCGUUACGAUUUUGUACAUCCCCAGAGCCAGCACGAUGCCUGUUCCAAAGAAAGGGCUUAAUAAAUACUUUCUGAAUGAAUCAAAGAAGGGACAGACCAGACAGGGGCCAUGAAAGGGCCCCAUUCAAUUCGGCUGAACUAAUGCCACCACUGACAAGGACAGAGUGUCUGGGAACCUUUUCAAAGGCUCUAAGACUCCCUUCAACAGCAAAAGGGCCCGGCCAAGCCGUCGUAGGCCAGAAAAACCAGAAGGGCAGGGACCCCUGUCACUGCGCUCCAGGCAGGUCUGGCCUCCCACGCUACGGGAUCCCCCGCCACCUGCUUCCUCAGAUAUGGCAACAGAGCCGACUGCCCAAGGGCAAGCCUAGCCCUUGGACCUGUCUACCCACUGCCUGAGAAACCGGUUGCAGGGACAGAGUCCUCAUGAAACAGCCUUUGUGUGAAACACCGGCUCAUCUCAGACACAUCCGCCGGGCCCAAGCUGCAGCGGAUACAGUGAGACAAGUCGCCUGCCGCGGCUGGGAACGAGGAGCCAGGGCCUCCCAGGCCAUAGGUAUGGUGAAGGUACAGGUGUGCGGGCAGAACCUCGGGGCCUGCAGGGGAAAAGGCAAGCUGGACCAGUACUAAGGAAGCCUGGCGCUCAGCACACAUGACGAUGGUGGGAGGGAAGACAGACGAGAUACACAAGGGCCAAGAGGGAAGAAGCCUUGACUCCCGUCUCCCUGUCUCGGGAGUUUCCCGUUAGCAGAGCACAAAAUGCAGAUGUGCUGUGCUUAGGCCACAGGUGGGUGAUCGUUUAAAACGGGGGAGCAUGUGCAUCAAAAUGAGGAUUUCCAGCUUGUCUGGUAACGCGAGGAAACCAGGCAAUCCCGCAUCCGUGUCCUGGCAGAGCCGCAGGCUGGGGAGGAACCGCAGCUACUGACAGAGAGCAUGUGCUGUCCAAUUUGCCACAGGCCCCACCACUCCCUACUGCCCUCCCACGGGGGUCCACGUCAUUCACAGAUGUUCUCCGUCCAGUCUCUGCUGGCAUUUGUACCUUCGUCAAGGUGUGCUCUCAUUCUGUCCCAGUAACAGUGUCUCACAGAUUCGCAACCAGGGCCCAGAGCAGUACAACUCCCCGUUCAAUAACAUCCGAUCAAUCAAAUCCGCUCAGUACCCAAACCCAGAUGUUCCUGGGGACACAUUUCAAGACGCCGAUCGGGUUCCUCGCGUCUCAGACCAGCUUAUACGCCACCGUGGCUGCCAUACGGGCAGAAUGUCAGUUUCCGGUUUUAGAGAAACACACGCAUGAACAAAACGAGCAACGGCCUAUCAAUGUCUACACACGGUCCCAACGCUAAGGACUUACGCAACUUCGCUGAACAUCCUGUUCGCUCUUAGCGUACAUCUCAGACAGAUCACCGUUCAGAAUGACUUCCGCUAGUGAGUUCACCAGGGGUGCGUGAUGUAUAAUUAGGAAGACCUGGUGAGAAAGAAGACACCGGGUUUGCGUUAAAGCGUGUGCUCUCUCCGCUUCUCCUUCCUCCAUCACAAAUGACCAGGCUGAGGUACCCAGGGCCCGUACUGAACAGCAACUCCCGUGAAGCAAAAUCCAAAGAAUGGGUCUCAUUUAGGAGAAACCGGUUACGCCUUUCUCCUCCCAGGGUUGGCCGCUCCUUCAUUCAGACUGUUGCCUACUUGGCUGGCUGCUCCCCGGCGGAAGGAAGUGCAUCAAAGCAAGACGGUCCCUCGUGGCCGGGGGAGGCCAAAUCCCCCUGAAGUGGAGCAAAGUGGGAGAGCAGCGGCCAAAGCAGCACACUCCUUCCUCUCCACAGGCAUCUCAGCGUCGAAUCUGAUUACGCUAAGACUGGAAGGCACAGACCCAACAUCUCAGUUAUACGGGAGGAAGGGGCCGGCGAGUCUCGUUCCCGUCCAGGACUUGGCAAACCGUCGUCUCCACAGAAAGCCCACGGCUGGAAUGAGCUGGGGCCCCCGCGGUGGGUCUCAGCGCACCAAGAUUCCGUGGCAGUGUCGGGAGGUGUGGACGCUGUGGGGAAGAGAAGCCACAGGAGCCAGAGGCAGACCCAGCCGGGCCAGCAUGUGGAAUGAGAAGGCACUGGGCUGUCUGGGAUGGCCCUGCCACCGCAGCCCGUGGCCCAACGUUCAGGACAACGGCGCUGGGAAUCAGGGUAU
This is a long non-coding RNA of Leopardus geoffroyi (Geoffroy's cat), 6988 nucleotides long. RefSeq lists it as uncharacterized. The record is from RefSeq and is a predicted model, not a curated record. NCBI's taxonomy places the organism in Eukaryota, Metazoa, Chordata, Mammalia, Carnivora, Felidae. The transcript has 2 exons.